RNAcentral lists this ribosomal RNA (424 nucleotides) under uncultured prokaryote. Its description in RNAcentral is "bacterial SSU rRNA". It matches the Rfam family "Bacterial small subunit ribosomal RNA", at positions 355 to 796 of the family's 1533-position model. The record is from RNAcentral.
UGGGGAAUAUUGGACAAUGGGCGCAAGCCUGAUCCAGCCAUGCCGCGUGGGUGAAGAAGGCCUUAGGGUUGUAAACCCCUUUCAGCGGGGAAGAUAAUGACGGUACCCGCAGAAGAAGCCCCGGCUAACUCCGUGCCAGCAGCCGCGGUAAUACGGAGGGGGCUAGCGUUGUUCGGAAUUACUGGGCGUAAAGCGCGCGUAGGCGGACCUGUAAGUCGGGGGUGAAAGCCCGAGGCUCAACCUCGGAACUGCCUUCGAUACUACAGGUCUCGAGUCCGAGAGAGGUGAGUGGAAUUCCUAGUGUAGAGGUGAAAUUCGUAGAUAUUAGGAAGAACACCAGUGGCGAAGGCGGCUCACUGGCUCGGUACUGACGCUGAGGCGCGAAAGCGUGGGGAGCAAACAGGAUUAGAUACCCCCGUAGUCC